CAUAGGUUAAUGAGGCGAACCGGGGGAACUGAAACAUCUAAGUACCCCGAGGAAAAGAAAUCAACCGAGAUUCCCCCAGUAGCGGCGAGCGAACGGGGAGCAGCCCAGAGCCUGAAUCAGUAUGUGUGUUAGUGGAAGCGUCUGGAAAGGCGCGCGAUACAGGGUGACAGCCCCGUACACAAAAAUGCACAUGCUGUGAGCUCGAUGAGUAGGGCGGGACACGUGGUAUCCUGUCUGAAUAUGGGGGGACCAUCCUCCAAGGCUAAAUACUCCUGACUGACCGAUAGUGAACCAGUACCGUGAGGGAAAGGCGAAAAGAACCCCGGCGAGGGGAGUGAAAAAGAACCUGAAACCGUGUACGUACAAGCAGUGGGAGCACGCUUAGGCGUGUGACUGCGUACCUUUUGUAUAAUGGGUCAGCGACUUAUAUUCUGUAGCAAGGUUAACCGAAUAGGGGAGCCGAAGGGAAACCGAGUCUUAACUGGGCGUUAAGUUGCAGGGUAUAGACCCGAAACCCGGUGAUCUAGCCAUGGGCAGGUUGAAGGUUGGGUAACACUAACUGGAGGACCGAACCGACUAAUGUUGAAAAAUUAGCGGAUGACUUGUGGCUGGGGGUGAAAGGCCAAUCAAACCGGGAGAUAGCUGGUUCUCCCCGAAAGCUAUUUAGGUAGCGCCUCGUGAAUUCAUCUCCGGGGGUAGAGCACUGUUUCGGCAAGGGGGUCAUCCCGACUUACCAACCCGAUGCAAACUGCGAAUACCGGAGAAUGUUAUCACGGGAGACACACGGCGGGUGCUAACGUCCGUCGUGAAGAGGGAAACAACCCAGACCGCCAGCUAAGGUCCCAAAGUCAUGGUUAAGUGGGAAACGAUGUGGGAAGGCCCAGACAGCCAGGAUGUUGGCUUAGAAGCAGCCAUCAUUUAAAGAAAGCGUAAUAGCUCACUGGUCGAGUCGGCCUGCGCGGAAGAUGUAACGGGGCUAAACCAUGCACCGAAGCUGCGGCAGCGACGCUGAUGCGUU
Molecule: ribosomal RNA, 1018 nt
Filed under: Escherichia coli
Lineage: Bacteria; Pseudomonadati; Pseudomonadota; Gammaproteobacteria; Enterobacterales; Enterobacteriaceae
Description: partial 23S ribosomal RNA
Rfam family: Bacterial large subunit ribosomal RNA
Source: RNAcentral